AUACGGAGGAUGCGAGCGUUAUCCGGAUUUAUUGGGUUUAAAGGGUGCGCAGGCGGCCAUUUAAGUCAGCGGUUAAAUCGUGGGGCUCAACCCCAUUCUGCCGUUGAUACUGGGUGGCUUGAUUGCGGUCGAGGUUGGCGGAAUUCGUUGUGGAGCGGUGAAAUGCAUAGAUAUGACGAAGAACACCGAUUGCGUAGGCAGCUGACCAGACCGCAAAUGACGCUCAUGCACGAAAGUGCGGGGAUCGAACAGGAUUAGAUACCCUGGUAGUCCGCACAGUAAACGAUGAAUACUUGUUUUCGGCGAUAUAAUGUCGGAGGCAAAGCGAAAGCGAUAAGUAUUCCACCUGGGGAGUACGCCGGCAACGGUGAAACUCAAAUGAAUUGACGGGG
Molecule: ribosomal RNA, 392 nt
Filed under: uncultured bacterium
Lineage: Bacteria
Description: partial 16S ribosomal RNA
Rfam family: Bacterial small subunit ribosomal RNA
Source: RNAcentral